CCUUCCCCACAACCUCGACGCGAUGCAACAUUCUGCCGCAAUGUUGUCCGACCUGCAGUGUCCGUCGAGCCCACGGGAAGG
Molecule: small RNA, 81 nt
Organism: Rachicladosporium sp. CCFEE 5018
Lineage: Eukaryota; Fungi; Ascomycota; Dothideomycetes; Cladosporiales; Cladosporiaceae
Rfam family: bZIP non canonical Hac1/Xbp1 intron
About the family: bZIP intron RNA is a non-canonical intron that was first reported in HAC1 gene in yeast and XBP1 gene in Metazoa.
Source: Rfam